RNAcentral lists this unclassified non-coding RNA (279 nucleotides) under uncultured fungus. RNAcentral's name for it is "partial contains 18S rRNA, ITS1, 5.8S rRNA, ITS2 and 28S rRNA". Lineage: Eukaryota; Fungi. The record is from RNAcentral.
AAGGAUCAUUAACUAUAUAAAGGCCGUGGGGCAAGUUCUCCGAAAGGACAGCUAAGUGGAUGUCCGGUUCCACUAGCUGGGGCGCGAUGGUCCCUGUGUUUCACAGGACGCCUACCGCUGAUCGAGCUUGCUUUCUAUCCUACCCUUGCUUUUUGCGCACCCAUUGUUUCCUCGGCAGGCUUGCCUGCCAGUAGGACCCUCUUAAACCCUUUGUAAUUGCAAUCAGCGUCAGAAACAACGUAAUCGUUACAACUUUCAACAACGGAUCUCUUGGUUCUG